Molecule: ribosomal RNA, 596 nt
Filed under: uncultured bacterium
Lineage: Bacteria
Description: bacterial SSU rRNA
Rfam family: Bacterial small subunit ribosomal RNA
Source: RNAcentral
CCUACGGGAGGCAGCAGUGGGGAAUCUUGCGCAAUGGGCGAAAGCCUGACGCAGCAACGCCGCGUGCGGGAAGAAGGCCUUCGGGUUGUAAACCGCUUUCAGAAGGAACGAAAAUGACGGUACUUUCAGAAGAAGGUGCGGCCAACUACGUGCCAGCAGCCGCGGUGACACGUAGGCACCAAGCGUUGUCCGGAUUUAUUGGGCGUAAAGAGCUCGUAGGCGGUUCGGUAAGUCGGGUGUGAAAACUUUGGGCUCAACCCAAAGCGUGCAUUCGAUACUGUCGUGACUAGAGUUCGGUAGGGGAGCGGGGAAUUCCUAGUGUAGCGGUGAAAUGCGCAGAUAUUAGGAGGAACACCGGUGGCGAAGGCGCCGCUCUGGGCCGAAACUGACGCUGAGGAGCGAAAGCGUGGGUAGCAAACAGGAUUAGAUACCCUGGUAGUCCACGCCGUAAACGUUGGGCACUAGGUGUGGGUCUCAACCAACGAGAUCCGCGCCGUCGCAAACGCAUUAAGUGCCCCGCCUGGGGAGUACGGCCGCAAGGUUAAAACUCAAAGUAGUAGUGACGNGNGAGACGCGAACGACGCGACGACGAGGAG